RNAcentral lists this ribosomal RNA (800 nucleotides) under uncultured bacterium. Its description in RNAcentral is "partial 16S ribosomal RNA". It matches the Rfam family "Bacterial small subunit ribosomal RNA", at positions 610 to 1398 of the family's 1533-position model. The record is from RNAcentral.
GAACCCACCCAUUGUAAAGCUUUUGUGUGAAAUUCUUGUUAAGGAAGGGAGAAAAAUCGGCAGAAAACGGGAAAAUUCUUAGGUAUCCCUGAAACCCCCGGGCGGGAGAGGCCUCUUCUCUCUCCAUUUUUUCGAUCUGGGGCCGGGAACGGGGGGGGGAAAAUGAGGGUUUAUUAUCCCUAAUUAUCCCCCGCCGUAACCGAUGGGUCCGUCGACCAUACACAAUAUUCCGUGUGUGUCUGAGAAAAACACCAUAGCAUUCCCAGGGGGGGGAGGUCCCUUCGCGAGAUUAAAACUCAAAGAGAAUGGACGGGGGUUCCCGCACAAAGGGGGGGAGCAUGUGUUUUAAUUCGAUGAUGCGCGAGGAACCUUACCUGCGCUAGAAUUCUGCGAGACUGUGGAUGAAAGCUCACUUUGUAGGAAUGCACUGCCAGUAAGGUGAUGCAUGGCUGUCGUCAUCUCGUGCCGUGAGGUGUUGGGUUAAGUCCCGCAACGAGCGCAACCCCUAUCUUUAGUUGCCCACAGGUAAUGCUGGGCACUCUAAAGAAACUGCCGUUGUAAGACGCGAGGAAGGAGGGGAUGAUGUCAAGUCAUCGUGGCCUUUAUGCCCAGGGCUACACACGUGCUACAAUGGGGAGGACAAAGGGCUGCAACACAGUGAUGUGAAACUAAUCCCAAAAACCUCUUCUCAGUUCAGGCCGUAGUCUGCAACUCGACUACGUGAAGCUGGAAUCGCUAGUAAUCGUUUAUCAGCAAUGAUACGGUGAAUACGUACCCGGCCCUUGCUCUGCCCGCCCGUC